Molecule: ribosomal RNA, 430 nt
Filed under: bacterium
Lineage: Bacteria
Description: partial 16S ribosomal RNA
Rfam family: Bacterial small subunit ribosomal RNA
Source: RNAcentral
UGGGGAAUAUUGGACAAUGGGCGCAAGCCUGAUCCAGCCAUGCCGCGUGUGUGAAGAAGGCCUUUUGGUUGUAAAGCACUUUAAGCGAGGAGGAGGCUACUUGGAUUAAUACUCUAGGAUAGUGGACGUUACUCGCAGAAUAAGCACCGGCUAACUCUGUGCCAGCAGCCGCGGUAAUACAGAGGGUGCGAGCGUUAAUCGGAUUUACUGGGCGUAAAGCGUGCGUAGGCGGCUUCUUAAGUCGGAUGUGAAAUCCCUGAGCUUAACUUAGGAAUUGCAUUCGAUACUGGGAAGCUAGAGUAUGAGAGAGGAUGGUAGAAUUCCAGGUGUAGCGGUGAAAUGCGUAGAGAUCUGGAGGAAUACCGAUGGCGAAGGCAGCCAUCUGGCCUAAUACUGACGCUGAGGUACGAAAGCAUGGGGAGCAAACAGG